This 375-nucleotide transfer-messenger RNA is filed under the name Burkholderiales. RNAcentral's name for it is "Hylemonella sp002342165 Standard tmRNA". It matches the Rfam family "transfer-messenger RNA". From Rfam's summary of the family: Bacterial tmRNA, also known as 10Sa RNA or SsrA, is named for its dual tRNA and mRNA-like properties. Its role is to liberate the mRNA from a stalled ribosome. Lineage: Bacteria; Pseudomonadati; Pseudomonadota; Betaproteobacteria. RNAcentral also lists the same sequence under 1 other name. The record is from RNAcentral.
GGGGCUGCACUGGUUUCGACAUGGGUUCGGACGCGUGGCAGGGCAUGUCGAGGUUCUGUUACCUCGUAAAACCGCAGAAAAAAACUAACUGCAAACGACGAACGUUUCGCACUCGCCGCUUAAUCCGGUGAGCCUUGCAACAGUUGGCCGAUAGGCUGGGUUAGGGGGUCGCAAUACCUCCUAGCUGCAAGGGAAUACAUAUGGGCUGGUCUACCAUCGUGCAUCUUGAUGGCGGACGAGAUCUAAGGAUGCUGGUUGGACAGGAAGCGUGUCGCUGCGCGUUUUGUCUGACGAGAUACAAAUCAGACGACUACACAUGUAGAACUGUACGAAAAAGGCUUGUGGACGCGGGUUCAAAUCCCGCCAGCUCCACCA